CCUACGGGUGGCAGCAGUGAGGAAUAUUGGUCAAUGGGCGCGAGCCUGAACCAGCCAAGUCGCGUGAGGGAAGACGGUCCUAUGGAUUGUAAACCUCUUUUGUCGGGGAGCAAAAGACGCCACGCGUGGCGUUCCGAGCGUACCCGAAGAAAAAGCAUCGGCUAACACCGUGCCAGCAGCCGCGGUAAUACGGAGGAAGCGAGCGUUAUCCGGAGUUAUUGGGUUUAAGGGGUGCGCAGGCGGAAGAUCAAGGCAGCGGUAAAAUUGAGAGGCUCAACCUCUUCGAGCCGUUGAAACUGGUUUGCUUGAGUGAGUGAGAGGUAUGCGGAAUGCGUGGUGUAGCGGUGAAAUGCAUAGAUAUCACGCAGAACUCCGAUUGCGAAGGCAGCAUACCGGCGCUCAACUGACGCUCAUGCACGAAAGUGUGGGUAUCGAACAGGAUUAGAUACCCGAGUAGUC
This 459-nucleotide ribosomal RNA is filed under the name uncultured bacterium. RNAcentral describes it as "partial 16S ribosomal RNA". It matches the Rfam family "Bacterial small subunit ribosomal RNA", at positions 338 to 795 of the family's 1533-position model. The record is from RNAcentral.